Molecule: ribosomal RNA, 484 nt
Filed under: uncultured bacterium
Lineage: Bacteria
Description: partial 16S ribosomal RNA
Rfam family: Bacterial small subunit ribosomal RNA
Source: RNAcentral
AUUGAACGCUGGCGGCAGGCCUAACACAUGCAAGUCGAGCGGAUGAAGGGAGCUUGCUCCUGGAUUCAGCGGCGGACGGGUGAGUAAUGCCUAGGAAUCUGCCUGGUAGUGGGGGAUAACGUCCGGAAACGGGCGCUAAUACCGCAUACGUCCUGAGGGAGAAAGUGGGGGAUCUUCGGACCUCACGCUAUCAGAUGAGCCUAGGUCGGAUUAGCUAGUUGGUGGGGUAAAGGCCUACCAAGGCGACGAUCCGUAACUGGUCUGAGAGGAUGAUCAGUCACACUGAAACUGAGACACGGCCCAGACUCCUACGGGAGGAAGCAGGGGGGAAUAUUGGACAAGGGGCGAAAGCCUGAUCCAGCCAGGCCGGGUGUGUAAAGAAGGUCUUCGGAUUGAAAAGCAUUUUAAGUUGGGAGAAAGGGAAGUAAGUUAAUCCCUUCCUGUUUUGACGUUACCAACAAAAAAAACCCCGGCAAACUUCGUG